AAAAGUCCAGACACUUUUAUGUAAAUGUUUUGAAGAAUUUUGUCAAGAAAGCAAGCCCUUUUCCAUUCCUGUUUUCAUUGCAAAGCAAAUUUAUCGCGCUCGAUGCAGCCAUCAAUGGUAGCAAUCAAACGCAGGCGCUGUUUGCCUUUACCAACCUCCCUUUCUCCUUUGUCUCAUCGCUUCCUCAAACCCUUUUCUUCUUCAAUAACCUCACAAUCUGAUCAUCCUCGGCCAGAUAACAAAAAUCCCAUUCCAUCACCGGAAGAAACAACACUAGCAAACCAAUUACACUCUCUAAUCAAAGACCACCACCGUAAAAACCCUAACCUCACCAUACCCAAUAACACUUCUCCAUCUCUUUGCCUUGACCUCACCCAGUUCUCAGCCGCCCCUUUCUCCCCUUCCACCAUCCGCCUCGUCAUUGAAAAAUGCGCCGCAGUUCGCCACGGCAUUCCUUUUCCUCAGGCCCUUUCUUUCUUCAACUGGGCCACUUCUCGGGUCGGGUUCACCCACCACCCUGACCCUUACAAUGAGAUGAUCAAUCUUGCUGGUAAAGUUAGAAAUUUUGAUGUCUGUUGGCAAGUUAUUGAUUCAAUGAAAGCUAGAAAUGUUGAUAUUAGUAUCGAAACGUUUUCUAUUCUUAUUAGACGUUAUGUUAGAGCGGGACUGAAUUCCGAGGCUUUACAUGCUUUUAAUCGCAUGGAGGAUUAUAAUUGUUUGCCUGAUAAGCUUGCUUUUUCUAUUUUGAUUAGCAUUUUGUGUAGGAAAAGAAAAGCUAGUGAAGCUCAGUCUUUUUUUGAUAGUUUAAAAGACAAGUUUGAGCCUGAUGUUAUUGUCUACACUAAUCUGAUUCGUGGGUGGUGUCGCGCUGGAAAUAUACCAGAGGCUGAGAGGGUCUUUAAGGAAAUGAAAAUGGCGGGUUGUAUGCCGAAUGUUUAUACGUAUUCUAUUGUCAUUGAUGCUUUGUGUAGAUGUGGGCAGAUUAGUCGCGCGCAUGAUGUUUUUGCUGAGAUGCUUGAUGUCGGAUGUGAACCAAAUUCAAUCACUUUUAAUAAUCUGAUGAGGGUUCAUGUUAAAGCUGGUAGAACUGAAAAGGUUUUGCAAGUCUAUAAUCAGAUGAAGAGGAUGGAAUGCUCUCCUGAUACCAUUACUUUUAAUUUUCUUAUAGAGAGUCACUGCAAGGAGGGGAAUCUUGAAGAAGGAUUCAAGGUUCUUAACUCGAUGGUUAAGAAGGGGUGUAGUCCUAAUGCUGCUACUUUCAAUUUAUUAUUUGGGUCGAUUUCGAAGUUAGGAGAUGUGAAUGGGGCUCAUAGAUUGUAUGCUAAGAUGAAAGAGGUUAAGUGUGAGGCUAAUACAGUAACAUACAAUAUCCUAAUGCGUAUGUUUGUAGACAGUAAAUCUGCGGAUAUGGUUCUGAAGUUAAAGAAGGAAAUGGAUGAAAAUGAAGUUGAACCUAAUGUGAACACUUACCGUGUUUUAAUUUCAAUGUAUUGUGGAAUGGGGCACUGGAAUAAUGCGCACAAGCUCUUUAAAGAGAUGGUUGAAGAGAAGGGUCUAAAACCGAGUCUCCAUGUUUAUGAGAAAGUUCUCCAGCAGCUCAGGAAUGCUGGGCAGUUAAAGAAGCAUGAACAAUUAGUGGCAGUUAUGGUUGAUAGAGGAUUUGUUACUCGUCCUGUAUAAGGAAAGCUACGUCUUCUGCUCCUAUGUGAGUUAUGUUUUAAUGAUACGGGAUUUUAGGGCUGAAACCUUGAUAUAUCCUCUUCAUUAUGUGAAAAUGGUUUCUGAACUUAUUUAAUUUAGGGAUGAAUAGCUAAGUAGCUAUGCAGCACAUGCAUUGGACUCGUAGAGAUGCAUUCCAGUCAUUGCAAUGUGUGAUCACGUGUCUGAUGGCCUAAACCCGGUUUGCUUAAAGUAAAUUGUCAAUAAGGAUUGAUACGUUUGUGAUAACUCUGGUGAUAUAUUUCAGCUACCUGUGCCGCAAGUUUCCCGGGCUUGUGGUAGGACAGCAGUAAAUAGCUCACUUUUAACACCAUGGACUCGGUAGAUGAUUAGCUGAACAACUCGAAAGCUGUAGAGACUUCGGCUCUCUUGAUGCUGGUUUUAGAGAAGGUGGAAACUGCAUUAGAAUUACUCAAAAUUGUAAAUGAAUUAGGGUUUCAGUUUAGAUGGUACAACUUGGAUGGAUUCAGAAAAACGAGUAAUGUUACGUAAUGAACAAGUUAUCAUUCUGUUUGUUAGUGUAUUAUCCAUUAUUGGCAUAGACAGAGAAAGGAACCUGCAGCCCAGGCACCAUAGGAAGUAACAUGGCGACAUCCACCGACUAUAUAAAACUAUAUCUUAAAAAUAUCCCAUGUAAUACAUAUCUGUUAAUUAGGUAAGAAUUUCCCUAUAUAUGUUACGUACGCAAAUACUUGCGUUGACCAA
Molecule: RNA transcript, 2424 nt
Organism: Mercurialis annua (annual mercury)
Lineage: Eukaryota; Viridiplantae; Streptophyta; Magnoliopsida; Malpighiales; Euphorbiaceae
Gene name: probable calcium-binding protein CML48
Exons: 2
Source: RefSeq, a predicted model, not a curated record